GCCAGGUGUGGUGGCUCACGUCUGUAAUCCCAGCACUUUGGGAGGCUGAGGUGGGUGGAUCACCUGAGGUCAGGAGUUCAAGACCAGCCUGGCCAACAUGGUGAAACCCCACCUCUA
This 117-nucleotide non-coding RNA is filed under the name Homo sapiens (human). Lineage: Eukaryota; Metazoa; Chordata; Mammalia; Primates; Hominidae. The record is from Rfam by way of RNAcentral.